CAUGCAGUUGAUGGGGAAGUGGUGCUUGCACCAUGGUUAACCAUGGCGGACGGGUGAGUAACGCGUAAGGGACUUACCUGCAGGACUGGGAUAACAGGGGGAAACUCCUGACAAGACCGGAUAAUGUCAUGGAGCUGCAUGGCUUUAUGAUGAAAGGAGACGCCUGCGGAGAGCCUUGCGUCCUAUUAGCUAGUUGGUGAGGUAAAGGCUCACCAAGGCGAAGAUAGGUAGCCGGCCUGAGAGGGUGGACGGCCACAAGGGGACUGAGAUACGGCCCUUACUCCUACGGGAGGCAGCAGUGGGGAAUAUUGGACAAUGGGGGCAACCCUGAUCCAGCAAUUCUGUGUGCACGAAGAAGGUUUUCGGAUUGUAAAGUGCUUUCAGCAGGGAAGAAGGAAGUGACGGUACCUGCAGAAGAAGCGACGGCUAAAUACGUGCCAGCAGCCGCGGUAAUACGUAUGUCGCGAGCGUUAUCCGGAAUUAUUGGGCAUAAAGGGCAUCUAGGCGGCCUGACAAGUCAGGGGUGAAAACCUGCGGCUCAACCGCAGGCCUGCCUUUGAAACUGUGAGGCUGGAGUACCGGAGAGGUGGACGGAACUGCACGAGUAGAGGUGAAAUUCGUAGAUAUGUGCAGGAAUGCCGAUGAUGAAGAUAGUUCACUGGACGGUAACUGACGCUGAAGUGCGAAAGCCGGGGGAGCGAACAGGAUUAGAUACCCUGGUAGUCCCGGCUGUAAACGAUGAUUACUGGGUGUGGGCAGGAAGACUGUCUGUGCCGAAGCAAAUGCGAUAAGUAAUCCGCCUGGGGAGUACGGCCGCAAGGCUGAAACUCAAAGGAAAUUGACGGGGGACCCGCACAAGCGGUGGAGCAUGUGGGUUUAAUUCCACGCACGCCAGGAACCUUACCAGAUCUUUGACUUCCCGCGAAUGCCCCGUGA
This 936-nucleotide ribosomal RNA is filed under the name uncultured bacterium. RNAcentral's name for it is "bacterial SSU rRNA". It matches the Rfam family "Bacterial small subunit ribosomal RNA", at positions 54 to 1004 of the family's 1533-position model. The record is from RNAcentral.